Molecule: ribosomal RNA, 347 nt
Filed under: uncultured bacterium
Lineage: Bacteria
Description: bacterial SSU rRNA
Rfam family: Bacterial small subunit ribosomal RNA
Source: RNAcentral
AGAGUUUGAUCAUGGCUCAGGAUGAACGCUAGCUACAGGCUUAACACAUGCAAGUCGAGGGGCAGCAUGGUCUUAGCUUGCUAAGGCUGAUGGCGACCGGCGCACGGGUGAGUAACACGUAUCCAACCUGCCGUCUACUCUUGGCCAGCCUUCUGAAAGGAAGAUUAAUCCAGGAUGGGAUCAUGAGUUCACAUGUCCGCAUGAUUAAAGGUAUUUUCCGGUAGACGAUGGGGAUGCGUUCCAUUAGAUAGUAGGCGGGGUAACGGCCACCUAGUCAGCGAUGGAUAGGGGUUCUGAGAGGAAGGUCCCCCANAUUGGAACUGAGCACGGUCAACUCCUACGGAGCA